Molecule: ribosomal RNA, 519 nt
Filed under: Triticum aestivum (bread wheat)
Lineage: Eukaryota; Viridiplantae; Streptophyta; Magnoliopsida; Poales; Poaceae
Description: partial small subunit ribosomal RNA
Source: RNAcentral
AUGUCUUCCACCUCCGGCGCUUCCCAAACCAACCUCAAUAGCCAAGUUACCGAGAAGCUAACCCGCACAAAUUAUGUGCUAUGGCGCACGCAAGUCAUCCCUCAGCUGCGCGGCGCCGGUGUCUACGUCUAUGUCGACGGCACCAAGCCGGAGCCAGCGAAAUUCCUCGUCACCACCAAGGACGGCAAGGAGGAUUCGUCAACGCCCAACCCUCUCCACCCAAUCUGGGUCCGGGAGGAUCAGCAGGUUCCGGGAUACCUGCUGAACAACCUGACACGUGAGGUGCUGCUCACGGUGACCACGGUCACCACCGCGGGCGCGCUCUGGACGACGCUCGCUGGGAUGUUCUCGUCUCAGUCUGCCAGCCGCAUCAACAAUAUACGAACGUCCCUCAUCAACGCGCAGAAGGGGAGUCUCUCCGUUGCCUCCUACUUCGCCGCCAUGCGCGGCUACGCCGAUGAGCUAGCCGCCGCAGGCAAGGCGAUCCCCGACGACGAACUCGCCUCCUACAUCAUCCAU